Long non-coding RNA from Orbicella faveolata, 1111 nucleotides. The record is from RefSeq and is a predicted model, not a curated record. Lineage: Eukaryota; Metazoa; Cnidaria; Anthozoa; Scleractinia; Merulinidae.
AAGAUCCUUAAAUAAAAUAACAUUAAUAUCUUCGAAGAUCCUCUAAGAUCUUGGCUAGAAAGAUCAAGAUCCUCAAAGAUGCUCAAAGAUCCUGACAAGAAAGAUGAAUAUCGUUUGAGAUCCUUGCAGAUGCCGACAAGCAUACAGAGUUGUAUUAAACUCUUUUGAGGAUCUUGGCAAGAAUUUUCAAAGAUCUUGUUAAGGUCUUAUCAAUAGGAUCCUCAACAAUUUUAAUGAAUAUCUUUGAAGAUCCUUAAAGAUCUUCAAAAGAUUUUCACCAGGGAUUAGCACAGAGGAAAAGUGUCUGAUGUCUUACUUGCAGCACUAAAAACCUCCACCACUCUUCCUAGGAAUGCAUUCAACCAUCUCUUCAUGAGGUCGUUCAAGUGUUAGUCACAUGUGGAUGUAUGUUUUUGUAACCAUCUUUUGUAGAUGAGGUUACUGCAACAGCUUCACUGAGUGCGCAGUCCAGUGCAAGUCUAGCUGACGCAUCUGUGGUGCAUGUGGAUUCAGUUGCUCUGGAACCAAAGACUGACCCAGAAAGUGUUAAGGAGCAUUACAGCAAUCUGCUAGGAGAUAGUGUGGAUAUUUUGGUUGCAGAUAUAUCAAAAUUCCAAUCAGGUGGAGGGUUGGGGAUCAGUUUAGAAGGAACACAAAAUCCACAGGGUAAGGAAAGAUAAAUUGUAACUUGUGUUCAUUUAAACUUCUGCUCAUUGUAACAUCACUUUGACAUUUUAUUUGACACAUGGAAAAAAUUGUGUGACCAACAAAUAGGAUUUUGAUUCAAAGGCAAUCAAAAGGGCUAUGUUAUUUGUUUCAUAUACAUGUACAUGUACAAUGUAAUUACAUGUAAUAACUCUUACUACAGUCUACAGGUAGUUCUAGUUAGUCUUAUGUGAUCAUCAGGGUGAGGGUUUCCUACAGUAUGUGGAAGUAGCUAGGGAUACGUGCACUCCAGUUUUUAUCUGUGUCACUGACCAAAGAAAUGGAAAAGUGUUCUGUACUAAAUAGAGAAAGAUUUCUUAAUGGUCAGGUUUUGGCACCACUGUUGAUAACAUUGCAAUACUUAUCAGUGUAUUACAAAUAAAUUUUAUGUGGUAAAUAUAGGUAU